This 253-nucleotide ribosomal RNA is filed under the name uncultured bacterium. RNAcentral's name for it is "partial 16S ribosomal RNA". It matches the Rfam family "Bacterial small subunit ribosomal RNA", at positions 524 to 777 of the family's 1533-position model. The record is from RNAcentral.
UACGAAGGGGGCGAGCGUUGUUCGGAAUUACUGGGCGUAAAGGGCGCGCAGGCGGCUCUGAAAGUCAGAUGUGAAAGCCCCGGGCUUAACCUGGGAAUUGCAUUUGAUACUCUGGAGCUUGAGUGUGGGAGAGGAGAGUGGAAUUCCCAGUGUAGAGGUGAAAUUCGUAGAUAUUGGAAGAACACCAGUGGCGAAGGCGACUUACUGGACACAUAUUGACGCUGAGGUGCGAAAGCGUGGGGAGCAAACAGGG